UUUUUGUAUAGUAUAUAAUCAUUAUCUGAACAUCUGGCUUGUUGUGCAUGUCCGUACAAUUUAUUCCGAUAUCCGAUAAGGUCAUCAACUGCAAGUCGAAUGUUGCUAUUCGGAGGACAGAUCGAGGCAAAAUGUAUCAGCAGACAUCGGAGAAGUGUUAAAUCCAGAUGUUUUGUAGUAAGUGUGGUUUUUGCCGGACAACAACAGAAUUGUGCCGUGCUUUUUAAAUUAUGACAGGACAGUGUUUGUCCUGUUUUGUCUAGUAUUAUGUUUAAUUGAUCAGGAUGCAAAACUCUACUCACGGGAGUUGUUAGUGGUAAUUUUCCAUUGAUACACUGGCAACAUGUAUAUUUAUUAUAACAUAAAUGAUAUAUUUCAUGCUGGUUCAAGUUUAUAAAAUCCUCAAAAGUUUGAUUACAGGCGUUUAGUUCAUUAUCAAACAACAAAAUCAGCGACUCUUUUCCAUGAUCAACAAUAAUUGUGGAGAUUCUAUAAAAGUUGUCUCUCUCCUUCUGUAUGCUUAACCUUCAAUA
This 533-nucleotide long non-coding RNA is filed under the name Mytilus galloprovincialis (Mediterranean mussel). The record is from RNAcentral. Lineage: Eukaryota; Metazoa; Mollusca; Bivalvia; Mytilida; Mytilidae.